Molecule: ribosomal RNA, 497 nt
Filed under: uncultured bacterium
Lineage: Bacteria
Description: partial 16S ribosomal RNA
Rfam family: Bacterial small subunit ribosomal RNA
Source: RNAcentral
GAUGAACGCUGGCGGCGUGCCUAAUACAUGCAAGUCGAGCGAACAGACGAGGAGCUUGCUCCUCUAACGUUAGCGGCGGACGGGUGAGUAACACGUGGAUAACCUACCUAUAAGACUGGGAUAACUUCGGGAAACCGGAGCUAAUACCGGAUAAUAUAUUGAACCGCAUGGUUCAAUAGUGAAAGACGGUUUUGCUGUCACUUAUAGAUGGAUCCGCGCCGCAUUAGCUAGUUGGUAAGGUAACAGCUUACCAAGGCAACGAUGCGUAGCCGACCUGAGAGGGUGAUCGGCCACACUGGAACUGAGACACGGUCCAGACUCCUACGGGAGGCAGCAGUAGGGAAUCUUCCGCAAUGGGCGAAAGCCUGACGGAGCAACGCCGCGGGAGUGAUGAAGGUCUUCGGAUCGUAAAACUCUGUUAUUAGGGAAGAACAAAUGUGUAAGUAACUAUGCACGUCUUGACGGUACCUAAUCAGAAAGCCACGGCUAACUACGUG